Molecule: long non-coding RNA, 271 nt
Organism: Trichosurus vulpecula (common brushtail)
Lineage: Eukaryota; Metazoa; Chordata; Mammalia; Diprotodontia; Phalangeridae
Exons: 3
Source: RefSeq, a predicted model, not a curated record
GGUAGAGCCAUCCAAAAUGAGAACUACAGUUCCCAUGGGAACUUUGAAUAAAGGGUCACCUUCCAAUAAGAGUAAAGGGCCCAAGGGCAGAGCGGACCCUUGAAUCCCCAAUGUCCAAGAAAAGGCACAAUAUGAGGGGAAAAGCAAUCUCUUCACAGGCUUCCCUUGGAAAGCCCCUGGUCCACUCCCAUCCUGAAGAAAUGGUAAAGAUGUCAUCUUAUCCAGUUCAGAAGAAAUAUUAUAAUGACACAGAAACUCUACAUCCCAUCAA